GUAAUGGCGAANGAACAGGGAUAAGCUCAGCUUGGAAAUUGGGNNUCUGGGUUGAAUUGUAGUCUUUCGAUGGCAUUGCCAGCGGAGGCGCAGAUGUAAGCCUCUUGGAAAAGAGCAUCAAUGAGGGUGAGAGUCCCGUUUGUCAUCUGCAGUCCUCUGUUUACGGUGUGCUUUCUAAGAGUCACGUUCCUUGGGACUGGAGCGCAAAUUGGGUGGUAAAUUUCAUCUAAAGCUAAAUAUUGGUUCGAGACCGAUAGCAAACAAGUACCAUGAGGGAAAGGUGAAAAGGACUUUGAAAAGAGAGUUAAAAGUGCCUGAAAUUGCUGAAAGGGAAGCGAAUGGAACCAGUCUUCUUGGUGAGAUUGUUGUGCGCUAUUGUGAUUGCUUUCUGCUUCAACGCAAGUGUUGCAGUGGGUUUUGAGCAUGACGCGCACUUUGUUUCUCACCUCGUGUGUCAACGUCGGUUCAGAUUUGAGGAAAACUCUAGGGACAUGGGUAAUUGCUCGCGAGUGAUUGAAUGUGCCUGGUAGAACUCAUGUCUAAACUGAUUUCCGCAUGUCUGGUCGCAGUGUUCUCAUUACCUGCGUCUGGGUUCGUGGCUUGUAGCUUCUGUUACUCGUCGCGGGCUCUGGGCCUGGUCGUGGAGCAUCUCCCUGACAUUAGUACGAUGACAAAAUGGUUUCAUUCGACCCGUCUUGAAACACGGACCAAGGAGUCUAACAUAUGUGCAAGUUCACGGGUGUUAAACCUGAUUGCGCAAUGAAAGUGACUGCUGGGAUAUUUGCACCAGCCACCGACCAAUCAAUUGUGANAGGUUUGAGUAUGAGNNUAUCUGUUANGACCCGAAA
This 848-nucleotide ribosomal RNA is filed under the name Gymnodinium sp. RNAcentral's name for it is "LSU rRNA". It matches the Rfam family "Eukaryotic large subunit ribosomal RNA", at positions 83 to 821 of the family's 3401-position model. Lineage: Eukaryota; Dinophyceae; Gymnodiniales; Gymnodiniaceae. The record is from RNAcentral.